AUUGAACGCUGGCGGCAGGCCUAACACAUGCAAGUCGAGCGAGCGGCGGACGGGUGAGUAAUGUCUGGGAAACUGCCUGAUGGAGGGGGAUAACUACUGGAAACGGUAGCUAAUCCCGCAUACCAUCAGAUGUGCCCAGAUCGGAUUAGCUAGUAGGGGGGGUAACGGCUCACCUAGGCGACGAUCCCUAGCUGGUCUUAGAGGAUGACCAGCCACACGGGAACUGAUACACGGGCCAGACGCCUACGGGAGGCAGCAGUGGGGAAUAUUGCACAAUGGGCGCAAGCAUGAUGCAGCCAUGCCGCGUGUGUGAAGAAGGCCUUCGGGUUGUAAAGCACUUUCAGCGGUGAGGCGUUACCCGCAGAAGAAGCACCGGCUAACUCCGUGCCAGCAGCCGCGGUAAUAC
RNAcentral lists this ribosomal RNA (406 nucleotides) under uncultured bacterium. RNAcentral's name for it is "partial 16S ribosomal RNA". It matches the Rfam family "Bacterial small subunit ribosomal RNA", at positions 30 to 526 of the family's 1533-position model. The record is from RNAcentral.